AUGCCACUGCAGUCCAGAUUACUCUCGCAGAUAGAUGUGCUAUCUGACAAACUAAUAAAGGUCUUCAAAAGGCGAGGAGGACAAAUAGGAAGAAGACUUCAGAACAUUCUGGAGCCCACGGCCCAGGCCACAGAUGAAGCCAUUAUCCAACGAUCUAAUAAGGAAACAACCAUGGGAAUUUACAUCAUAAAGUCAAGAGAUGCCAAUGGCAGCCCUGAGGACAUCGGGAUAGUCCUUGAAGGCCAGAGAGUCUAGCAGGAUUUGGAUAACUAUACCCUAGCAGCUGCAAUGCUGUUUGGACUAAUAUACACUUUGAACCUCACCUACCCACUGGAAAAGUAUACCUUCGAGGUAUUAUAGAAACUGGUUAUGGAGCUCAAAAGGAACAGCCUUUCGAAGAAGGCCCAGGUUUUCAGGACCAGACUGUACGAUUGAACAGUUUUCCAGUUAUGAUGUGGGAACAACAUGUUUACCUCUUCGAAUAUGUACCAUCCUUUCUUUUAAGCCAGCACUGGUAAAGUUGCAGUACAUAGUGAAACUUAUUUUUCUGGCACUUUUCAACUGGGGCCUUUAUUACUGCAGUGUUCAGUGUUCACUUUUCAAGCCAUGGCUCUUUUGAAAAAAAAUUCAAACUUUGAAUGUCCAUUUUUCUCAAUGGAAAUGGUGCCUUGCACCAAUUUCACCAGUUUGCAAUUUCUUUCCCAAGGUGCACCACUACAAACAGAUUGCAUGGUCUAGUAUUAGUGAUUGUGAUGUUUAGUGAUAGAAGCAAGCCAAUACUAAUCAGUUUAGGUCUCUUGGUUUUGUGCCUGUGGGUUAUAAUGUUAUUUUAAGUCUCUUCUUUGUGUCAUUUUAAUAAUUACACCCCUGUUGCCAUAUUACCUUAUGGCUCUUACAUUUAAAAAACUAUUUUUUACAUAAGCGUGAUGUCAUAAGGCCCCACAAUGUUGAAUCCAGGUUACAGCAGAUAACUUUGAGGAAUGUUGUGGAAUGUUUUUCAAGAGAUGCAUUGUACAAAUAUGACUCAUGUAUAUUUUGGAAGCCUGAAUUGAAAGUCCAUUGUUACAACUGUGUAGUAUUUUCAAAAAUACAGGUCAUUGUUCAAAAAUGUUUUGCUUUUUUCUUUGAAAAGUGUACAGUACAUACAGUAAGAUCAGCCUUAAUUUAGUUUUAUUUAUUGAACACUCAAUUAUAUAUUAGAUUAUAUAUUAUAUAUUAGAAAUUUGUUAUAAAAUAAAAUAAGCUUACCAUAAAAUAAUCUUGUCAAUAUAACACAUAGUAGUCCAAUACAAUUAACACAAAAAGUUCAUGUCUGAUAAACAAGUGGUUUCUAUAAAUAUUUGACCGGAAUGAAAAACAUAACAACAACAUAAAAAAGUCAUGUUCAUGUUACCAGAAAAAUGUGUGCAGGUAUAACAUAAAAAACUAAGGUUAACCAAACAUAACUUAAUUUCGUGCAACCGCUUACAAUAAUUUUUUUAUGUUUAUCCCACUGAUUAUUUUUUUCAGUGCACUUUGAUUAGUUGAGUAUCUGAGGCUGAGACCACGGGACUGUAAAAACAUGAUUGUUGGGCUUCAUUUCUGUACUGAACAGUCAUGUCAAGAUUAGUUAGUAAAUAACAAUUAGCUAAUGUUGUUCAUGAGACUAAAGUCAUCACUGUAGUAAUGUAAAUAUAAGAUAGCCAAUAUUAUAGUUAUUGUCAGAUUAUUAGGAUAUAUUAAAGGUCAUCUUAUCUUAUUCACUGGGGUUCAGUAAAGAUUCAAGUUGUAUUUAUUCAAAUUUCAAAUCACCUUAAAUGUCUGUGAAGGUUCUCAGUCAUCCAGGUCAUCGUAGUCAAAGGAAUUUGCAAAGAAAAGCGUCUGGACUUCUUUAAGUUGCUUGAAGACGUUUCACCUCUCAUCCGAGAAGCUUCUUCAGUUCUAAGGUCAAAUGGCCGAGAGUCCCAAAUUUAAACGCAGUGGGAGUAUCCCCCCAAAGAGGGACAAAGGACCCCCUGGUGAUCCUCUAAUCACAUGAGCCAAGGUGUGAAAGCACCCGCUUUCACACCUUGGCUCAUUCUAUCAGAUAACUGUUUCUGAUAGAAUGAAGAUCAGACUGAUAUAUGAAAUAUUCCUUUAUUGGGUGAGAAAAUCAGACCAUGUCAUAACUGCUUUAAGUCAUACAGAAUAGAUAUCAGAGCCUUAAACAGGCUGACUUCUGCUAAAUGGGUCAAACUGGGCAGAAAGUAUACAAACACAUAACAUCCUUAUAGAAUAUGAUGUAACUCUAUAGAUCAACUUACCUCAGAAUAUAUAAAGCAUAUAAACAAUUACAGCAAUAUGAUGCAACAAACACAGCAGUGCUACUAAUCCAAAAUACUCAAAGCUUCAUAGAACUGAAACAAACAUUUAUUUUUAGCUCCAUUCUGCUGCUGAUACAUACUUUAGGUUUCUGAAUAUUAAACUUGUUGCUGCCUUUCAUAGUGUGUAACUUGAAGGCCCUGAGUACUUUCUCCCACACUGAAAACACUGGGAUGAUAACAUUAUUUGAACAUUUCCUAAUAAGACUGAUUCAGGACAGACAAUUAGUUAUGUUAAACUUUCUAGCAGUCCUUCACAAACAGGGAACAGUCUGUCUAUUCUCUCCAUCUGUCAGCUGCUGCUGGCUCUUCCUCCUCCUCUUCCUCACACACUGCUGAGUUUGUCCUGGUGGAUCAUC
Molecule: long non-coding RNA, 2698 nt
Organism: Oreochromis niloticus (Nile tilapia)
Lineage: Eukaryota; Metazoa; Chordata; Actinopteri; Cichliformes; Cichlidae
Source: Ensembl